GAUGAACGCUGGCGGUAUGCUUAACACAUGCAAGUCGAACGGACUCUUCGGAGCUAGUGGCGGACGGGUGAGUAACGCGUGAGAAUCUGGCUUUGGGUUCGGGACAACCACUGGAAACGGUGGCUAAUACCGGAUGUGCCGAGAGGUAAAAGAGAAAUUGCCUGAAGAUGAGCUCGCGUCUGAUUAGCUAGUUGGUGAGGUAAAGGCUCACCAAGGCAGCGAUCAGUAGCUGGUCUGAGAGGAUGACCAGCCACACUGGGACUGAGACACGGCCCAGACUCCUACGGGAGGCAGCAGUGGGGAAUUGUCCGCAAUGGGCGAAAGCCUGACGGAGCAAUACCGCGUGAGGGAAGAAGGCUCUUGGGUUGUAAACCUCUUUUCUUAGGGAAGAACAAAAUGACGGUACCUAAGGAAUCAGCAUCGGCUAACUCCGUG
This 435-nucleotide ribosomal RNA is filed under the name uncultured bacterium. Its description in RNAcentral is "partial 16S ribosomal RNA". It matches the Rfam family "Bacterial small subunit ribosomal RNA", at positions 28 to 507 of the family's 1533-position model. The record is from RNAcentral.